CCUACGGGUGGCAGCAGUGGGGAAUAUUGCACAAUGGGGGAAACCCUGAUGCAGCGACGCCGCGUGAGUGAAGAAGUCUUUCGGUAUGUAAAGCUCUAUCAGCAGGGAAGAAAAUGACGGUACCUGAGUAAGAAGCCCCGGCUAACUACGUGCCAGCAGCCGCGGUAAUACGUAGGGGGCCAGCGUUAUCCGGAUUUACUGGGGGUAAAGGGAGCGUAGACGGAAUGGCAAGUAUGAAGUGAAAUGCCGGGGCUUAACCCCGGAACUGCGUUGGAAACUGUGAAGCUAGAGUGCAGGAGAGGUAAGUGGAAUUCCUGGUGUAGCGGUGAAAUGCGUAGAUAUUAGGAGGAACACCAGUGGCGAAGGCGGUUUACUGGACUGUAACUGACGCUGAGGCUCGAAAGCGUGGGGAGCAAACAGGAUUAGAUACCCCUGUAGUC
Molecule: ribosomal RNA, 440 nt
Filed under: uncultured bacterium
Lineage: Bacteria
Description: partial 16S ribosomal RNA
Rfam family: Bacterial small subunit ribosomal RNA
Source: RNAcentral